RNAcentral lists this non-coding RNA (44 nucleotides) under Schistosoma haematobium. The record is from RNAcentral. Lineage: Eukaryota; Metazoa; Platyhelminthes; Trematoda; Strigeidida; Schistosomatidae.
AUUGCCUGACGAGUCCCAAAUAGGACGAAACGCGCGUCCUGGAU